Molecule: ribosomal RNA, 253 nt
Filed under: uncultured bacterium
Lineage: Bacteria
Description: partial 16S ribosomal RNA
Rfam family: Bacterial small subunit ribosomal RNA
Source: RNAcentral
UACGUAGGGUGCAAGCGUUGUCCGGAAUUAUUGGGCGUAAAGAGCUCGUAGGCGGUCUGUCGCGUCUGCUGUGAAAACUCAGGGCUUAACCCUGAGCUUGCAGUGGGUACGGGCAGACUAGAGUGCGGUAGGGGAGACUGGAAUUCCUGGUGUAGCGGUGAAAUGCGCAGAUAUCAGGAGGAACACCGGUGGCGAAGGCGGGUCUCUGGGCCGUAACUGACGCUGAGGAGCGGAAGCAUGGGGAGCGAACAGG